GUCCACGCCGUAAACGAUGAGUGCUAGGUGUCGGGGUCAAACCUCGGUGCCGCAGCUAACGCAUUAAGCACUCCGCCUGGGGAGUACGUACGCAAGUAUGAAACUCAAAGGAAUUGACGGGGACCCGCACAAGCAGCGGAGCAUGUGGUUUAAUUCGAAGCAACGCGAAGAACCUUACCAGGGCUUGACAUGGUAUUGACCGGUUUAGAGAUAGAUCUUUCCCUUCGGGGACAAUACACACAGGUGGUGCAUGGUUGUCGU
Molecule: ribosomal RNA, 261 nt
Filed under: uncultured bacterium
Lineage: Bacteria
Description: partial 16S ribosomal RNA
Rfam family: Bacterial small subunit ribosomal RNA
Source: RNAcentral